UGUCAGACAGCUGAAAAGUCAAAGAAGAGAAAAAAAUCUUCUCCGCAAUAUUUUUGUGUUUUCAUUUUGCACGAAAAUUGAGGGAGGGCUUUUUUGGGGACAUUUCCCAGCAAUUGGACUAUGUUCUGUAACACCGUGGGUACCCAUCGACGGACAUACAUACGUGGAUGCAAUUAGAUUGGCUGCGUGCGGGAGUGUGGAAGUGAAUUAUGAGUAUCAUUGUGUCCAUCUCUGACUUCUUCACGGCCUUUUUUGUGACAAUUCUCCUCUCUGUUGUCGUGGUGCUCGCAUGGAAGUCCACCAAUGUGCGUGAGGAUCAUCUGUCUGCAGCGGUGCUCGUGAUUGAAAACAGCCGGAGACGCCUUAUUGAGCGCAUCCAUCAGUUCCAGUAUCAGCAGCCACAGACACACAAUUCCGCCCAGAGUGCAUCGCAACAGUCCAGCAACGCCACAAGUAGCAGCAGCAACAACAGCACUGGGGACACCACACAAUCUGUGGAUGUGACUCUCGCAAGUAGCGAUAGUUUGGACGGACAGGGCAACUUUAACGUGCUCUCGGAGCACCAUGAGCGCUUCCUGAGUCAAGCAGAGGAGAUAAUUGAGAGCCUCGAAGGCCCCGAUCAGAUAAUCCGUGAGAUGGAUGAUAUGAGUGAUGGUAUUCGCCAUAGGCAUUGGCGCCCAGCAGCUGCUCCCACGGCAGCCACGGCUGAGCCACAGACGGCGCCCCUAAUCACCCCUAGUAACCCCAGUGGUCCCAGCGACACGUCCACCAUUGAGAAUUGCACGAAUGAGAACAAUGAGAAUGACAUAUCAGAGGGGGCACGGGAUGCAGCAGCUGUUCCCGUGUCGGACAUGCGGAUCAAGUUGAAGUACCUGGAUGAUGUACAGCGUACAGUCCAGGGGAGGCCAUCAGAGGCAAUUGGGGACUUUAAGAAGCGCAAUUUUAGCGUAGAACUCGCAGCGGAUAAGCUGGUGCGGCUCGUUUUCAAUGGGCACGUCCUCCAGCCUGACUCCAAGACACUCCAGGCGUGCGGAUUGUUUGACAAUUGCGUCGUGCACUGUCUCAUCCACAAGAAGCCAUCAAAUAAUCCACCCGGAAGUGGGGAAAGUGGGCAGAAUGCGGCGGGAAAUGGUGAGUUCAAGAGUUUUUAUUUUAUUCUAAAUUCUUUAGCUGAAAACAAAUUCUUUUGAACCUCUUAAAAUAAGUGUUUAAAGGUCGAUUAAAGCUUUAUGUUUUAGUGGAUUCAAAUUAUGCAAAAUAUGGGAAAAUAGUUCAGCGAUAAAUCGUUAGAUUCAAACCAAUUAGCGUUCUUAAAAUUUCACUCUAACUGGUUUAGAACUGGUUUUAGAAAACUGAAAUUCAUUUAAAAAAAAUCUACACUGAAAAGUUCUUAAUUCAGUUAACCUUUGAACUGUUUUAGGGACUUUAUUCAGGAUAAAUUAAAAUAGAUUUAGUUAGAAUCUUCUUAAUCAUGAAUAGAAAAUCUUUAAAAGCCUUAAAAUAUUUAGAACAAUAAGGCUUUAAUUUAGGCCUAGAAAUUCACUUUAAUCUUAAGUUUUUUUUAAGAUUCUUUAAGUUUUCUAAACAUUCUUCAAGUUUUCUUAAGAAUGUCCUAAGUUUUAAAAGAUUUCUUAAGAUUCUUUAAGAAAAAACUUAAGAUUUUCUAAGAGACAUUUAAGAUGUGUAGCGCCCGACUCACUAUCCAGCGAAUAUUAACCUGCUCAUAGAGUGAGUACCCUUAGAUUGGCGGUAACUGUAACGGCUGCCCUUCCCUCGGCAACGGCUUCUGCCUCUAGGUUACAAACCCUCAAAUAGGCUAGAGAGAAUAAGAGAAUCCACAAGAGAAUGUAGGAGAGCACUGAGAGAAUAUUAGAUGGGAGAACGGCAAAGAGUGCUGAGUAGUGUAGAACGGCAAAGAGUGCUGAUGUGUGUAGAGCUGUAGAGAGAGUUAGUCUAAGCUCAGCCUUGCGCGGGAAUGGCUGUGCGUGUAAAGUGCUCUAUAGUUUAGCUUGAGGAUUACGAGGGUUGAGGUUACUAGAGGAGUUGCCAAAGCCCUGUGGCGCCCCCCUAUUCAGGGCGCCACAUAUCAGAAGUGGGAUGCGAAAUCCCGGUGAAAAAUAGACAGAAAAAGUGAUCGCGCGCGAGUGAGAAAACGAACAUGGCGGCUGUGACGCCGCAGAAAAGUGAGUGAAAAAGUGCCGUGGACGGCGAGGGACCCCAUUGGCAGCACCCCAGCACCAGCAGGAACCAUCGCGGAGUGUCUGCGGAGCAUCUGGAGGGGAUUUGCAGCGAAGUUAGCGGCAGCGGAGCACCGGAAUUGCGGAGGCAUCGUGGGCGAACGUGUCGCAACAAGUUCGCGGAAAUCGCCGGGCAUCAGGGCGUAUUUGGUGAAAAAUUUCCAUGAAAAUUGAAUUUUUGCAGCUCAAGGUGUGAAUGUGCGUGAAUGAGGGGUACCCCGAAAGGCCUGAAUGUCCGCAAAGAAUGGCAGAAUGCAUGAGAAAUGUCCCGUGAGCGGGGAAAAUUCUUCUCUUAUCUUUCCAGGAAGUUGCUCCAAAAGUUGCUGAAAAAUCAUGAAAGUGAGUACGUUCCUGCAUUUUAUGGGCAUUUGUGCAGCCAGUAGAGUAAUUGGGGAGAAAUAUUGUGUAAUUGAGGCUGCUUGAGGGUGAAAAUCGCGGUAGAAAGCGCCCCCAUGAAACUAUUUUAAUGAGUCGUGCGCGUAAAAUUAUUCUGCGGCGCAGAAGAAAAAUUUCCCUUCAAAAUUCAGAGAAAUCCGCCGCGGUAUGAAAAUUCCCAAAUUUCGCGGCUUGAGAAAUUAUUUGAACAAAAAUCCCUUAAAAAUUCCAGUGAAAAUAGCGGUCGAAAAUACCCUGUGAAAAAUAAAGAAGCCCCAGAAAAUUCCCAUAGAAAUCGCAGAAUUAGAGGAAAAUAAAGACAAAUAAAAAUGUGCAGAAAUAAAAGUUAGGAAAAGUUCCGCAGAAAUAAACGAAAUGUCCCAUGAAAUUUUGUGUUUAUCCGCUCGUGAAAUUUUCGGCGCAGUGUUCGAAAAAUUUUUCGGCGAAAAGUCACCAGGCGGAGUCGCGAUCAAAGAAAUCUGUCAGUUUGUUUUUAUUUUGAAAAGAAAACACGCCGUGAAGUGAGAAUUUGAAGAAAAACUCGGAAAAACGUGAGGAAAAGUGAAAAGAGAAAUGAAUGAGGAGCGUCAGGAAGGAGAUGAAGCAAUGAAGAAGCUCCCGAUGGCAGCACCCGAAGUGGAAGCACCCAUGAUAGCAGCAUCAGUGGUCGUAGCCCCUACAGUAGUGGCACCUGCAGUUGCAGCACCCACGGUGGAAACUCCUGCGAAGGCAUUGCCCACGGCGACGAUUAACAGUGGAUCCAGACGAGAAAAAGUGACAGGAUUUGCGCUUGGAUUGAGGGAGAUCGAAGCGCUUGUGCCUCGUUUCGAACCUGGCGACCGGAAGAUGCUAUCAGCUGCCGCCUGGUUCGACACUGUCAGUGCAAUCUUUCAUCAAUACGGUGUCAAGGAUGAACAUGCAGUUUUGAUGGCGAGUAUGCGGCUGAAGGGUGCAGCAAAAUCAUGGUUCGAGGGAAUGAGGGACAAUCUCCAUACUUGGGAAAUAUUUGGGGAAGCAUUGAAGGAAUUCUUCCCAGGGGAGAUUGAUAAUCUCACAAUCCACCAAAAGCUCCGAGAAGGCAAGAAGCGGCGAAGCGAGACAGCAGAGGAGUAUUGCUACGGAAAAAUGGCUCUCGCACAACAAAUCCAGUUGGACUUCAACACCCUCACAAGUUACAUUGUGGCGGGUAUUCAGGACCCCAACUUGAGAUCCAUUCUGAGCACGUCGCGGUAUGAUAGCCUCCCGGAGAUUGUACUGACUAUUAACCGUCAUGAAGCAUCUCAGAAUUUGGACAGGUGGAGCAGGGACCACCGCCGUGAAGAUCGCCAUUCCAGCCGCCGUGAUUCACGUCAUGAUGAGCGUCGUGGUGAGUGGCGUGACUAUCGGCACGGAAGAUAGCCUCGUAGGCGUGAGAAACAGCAGUCGAUAAGAAGUAGAUUGCGCUCAUGUGGUCGAAAAAGUUCAUGUUCUCUUACAGGCAAAA
This is an RNA transcript of Lutzomyia longipalpis, 4095 nucleotides long. It is a transcript of the gene named transmembrane and ubiquitin-like domain-containing protein 1, with no coding region annotated. The transcript has 3 exons. The record is from RefSeq and is a predicted model, not a curated record. NCBI's taxonomy places the organism in Eukaryota, Metazoa, Arthropoda, Insecta, Diptera, Psychodidae.